UCAAGCGAAUAAGCGCACACGGUGGAUGCCUAGGCGGUCAGAGGCGAUGAAGGACGUGGUAGCCUGCGAAAAGUGUCGGGGAGCUGGCAACAAGCUUUGAUCCGGCAAUAUCCGAAUGGGGAAACCCACUGCUUCGGCAGUAUCUUGCAGUGAAUUCAUAGCUGCUUGAAGCGAACCCGGUGAACUGAAAUAUCUAAGUAACCGGAGGAAAAGAAAUCAACCGAGAUUCCCUGAGUAGUGACGAGCGAACGGGGAACAGCCCUUAAGCUGGAAUGGCUUUAGAAAAACAAUCUGGAAAGAUUGGCCAUAGAAGGUGAUAGCCCUGUAUUUAAAAGGGCCACUCCAGUGAAGACGAGUAGGGCGGGGCACGUGAAACCCUGUCUGAAUAUGGGGGGACCAUCCUCCAAGGCUAAAUACUCCUGACCGACCGAUAGUGAACCAGUACCGUGAGGGAAAGGCGAAAAGAACCCCGGAGAGGGGAGUGAAAUAGAUCCUGAAACCGUGUGCGUACAAGCAGUAGGAGCUCGCAAGAGUGACUGCGUACCUUUUGUAUAAUGGGUCAGCGACUUACUGUUCGUGGCAAGCUUAACCGUAUAGGGGAGGCGAAGGGAAACCGAGUCUGAUAAGGGCGCAUAGUCGCGGGCAGUAGACCCGAAACCGGGUGAUCUAGUCAUGGCCAGGGUGAAGGUGCCGUAACAGGUACUGGAGGCCCGAACCCACGUCUGUUGCAAAAGACGGGGAUGAGCUGUGAUUAGGAGUGAAAAGCUAAUCGAACCCGGAGAUAGCUGGUUCUCCUCGAAAGCUAUUUAGGUAGCGCCUCGGACGAAUACUACUGGGGGUAGAGCACUGUUAUGGCUAGGGGGUCAUCGCGACUUACCAAACCAUUGCAAACUCCGAAUACCAGUACGUACUAUCCGGGAGACACACGGCGGGUGCUAACGUCCGUCGUGAAAAGGGAAACAACCCAGACCCACAGCUAAGGUCCCAAAUUCACUGCUAAGUGGAAAACGAUGUGGAAAGGCAUAGACAGCCAGGAGGUUGGCUUAGAAGCAGCCACCCUUUAAAGAAAGCGUAAUAGCUCACUGGUCGAGUCGGUCUGCGCGGAAGAUUUAACGGGGCUAAGCAGUGAACCGAAGCUUGGGGUGCGUAAAACUUCGGUUUUAUGCGCGGUAGAGGAGCGUUCCGUAAGCCUGCGAAGGUGGAUUGAGAAGUCUGCUGGAGGUAUCGGAAGUGCGAAUGCUGACAUGAGUAACGAUAAUGCGGGUGAAAAGCCCGCACGCCGAAAGCCCAAGGUUUCCUUGCGCAACGUUAAUCGACGCAGGGUUAGUCGGUCCCUAAGGCGAGGGCGAAAGCCGUAGUCGAUGGGAAGCAGGUUAAUAUUCCUGCACCUCGCGUGAGUGCGAUGGAGGGACGGAGAAGGUUAGGUGUACCGGGCGUUGGUUGUCCCGGGGAAAGGCGGUAGGUUUGGAUCUUUGGCAAAUCCGGGAUCCUUUAAGACCGAGCACCGAGACGAGCCUUUAUGGCGAAGUCACUGAUACCACGCUUCCAGGAAAAGCUCCUAAGCUUCAGCUCACGAAGACCGUACCGUAAACCGACACAGGUGGGUAGGAUGAGAAUUCUCAGGCGCUUGAGAGAACUCGGGUGAAGGAACUAGGCAACAUGGCACCGUAACUUCGGGAGAAGGUGCACCCUUUUUGGUGGCUCAUGCGAGCUAUAGCUGAAGAGGGUCGCAGAAACCAGGCCGCUGCGACUGUUUAUCAAAAACACAGCACUCUGCAAACACGAAAGUGGACGUAUAGGGUGUGACGCCUGCCCGGUGCUGGAAGGUUAAUUGAUGGGGUCAGCCGCAAGGCGAAGCUCUUGAUCGAAGCCCCAGUAAACGGCGGCCGUAACUAUAACGGUCCUAAGGUAGCGAAAUUCCUUGUCGGGUAAGUUCCGACCUGCACGAAUGGCGUAACGACAGCGGCGCUGUCUCCACCCGAGACUUAGUGAAAUUGAAAUCGCUGUGAAGAUGCAGCGUUCCCGUGGCAAGACGGAAAGACCCCGUGAACCUUUACUAUAGCUUUACACUGAACGUUGAGUUCGUCUGUGUAGGAUAGGUGGGAGGCUAUGAAACUGUGGCGCUAGCUGCAGUGGAGCCAACCUUGAAAUACCACCCUGUCGUGCUUGACGUUCUAACCUAGAUCCGUUAUCCGGAUCAGGGACCGUGUAUGGUGGGUAGUUUGACUGGGGCGGUCUCCUCCUAAAGAGUAACGGAGGAGCACGAAGGUACGCUCAGCGCGGUCGGACAUCGCGCACUGUGUGCAAAGGCAUAAGCGUGCUUGACUGCAAGAUCGACGGAUCAAGCAGGUACGAAAGUAGGUCUUAGUGAUCCGGUGGUUCUGUAUGGAAGGGCCAUCGCUCAACGGAUAAAAGGUACUCCGGGGAUAACAGGCUGAUACCGCCCAAGAGUUCAUAUCGACGGCGGUGUUUGGCACCUCGAUGUCGGCUCAUCACAUCCUGGGGCUGUAGUCGGUCCCAAGGGUAUGGCUGUUCGCCAUUUAAAGUGGUACGCGAGCUGGGUUCAGAACGUCGUGAGACAGUUCGGUCCCUAUCUGCCAUGGGCGUUGGAAGUUUGAGAGGGGCUGCUCCUAGUACGAGAGGACCGGAGUGGACGAACCUCUGGUGUUCCGGUUGUCACGCCAGUGGCAUUGCCGGGUAGCUAUGUUCGGAAGCGAUAACCGCUGAAAGCAUCUAAGCGGGAAGCGCGCCUCAAGAUGAGACUUCCCGGGGCACAAGCCCCCUAAAGGAACCAUAUAGACUAUGUGGUUGAUAGGUCAGGUGUGUAAGUACAGCAAUGUAUUGAGCUAACUGAUACUAAUGAUCCGUGCGGCUUGACCA
This 2880-nucleotide ribosomal RNA is filed under the name Xanthomonas campestris pv. campestris. Its description in RNAcentral is "23S ribosomal RNA". It matches the Rfam family "Bacterial large subunit ribosomal RNA". The record is from RNAcentral. Lineage: Bacteria; Pseudomonadati; Pseudomonadota; Gammaproteobacteria; Lysobacterales; Lysobacteraceae.